AGGUUUUUGCCCACCGAGCCCCCACAGUCCUGAAGGGUAGUCAAUGGAGGGAGGAGGCGCCCCUUCCUGGCGCGCCAUCUGUUGCGGGGACGACCUUCGGCCGGAGCCUCGCGCAACAGCAUAGCCCACAUUAAGCUAGCAGAGAAAGAGAACCGCGUUCCUCCCGAGGUAUUGUCCGCUUUGGAGGUCGAGCGUACCCGGAGCCCUCCUCACGGUUUUGUCCCA
Molecule: long non-coding RNA, 225 nt
Filed under: Phoenix dactylifera (date palm)
Lineage: Eukaryota; Viridiplantae; Streptophyta; Magnoliopsida; Arecales; Arecaceae
Description: long non-coding RNA (PDAC_LNC002078)
Source: RNAcentral